Molecule: ribosomal RNA, 536 nt
Filed under: Salmonella enterica
Lineage: Bacteria; Pseudomonadati; Pseudomonadota; Gammaproteobacteria; Enterobacterales; Enterobacteriaceae
Also listed under: 2 other names
Description: bacterial SSU rRNA
Rfam family: Bacterial small subunit ribosomal RNA
Source: RNAcentral
GAGUAAUGUCUGGGAAACUGCCUGAUGGAGGGGGAUAACUACUGGAAACGGUGGCUAAUACCGCAUAACGUCGCAAGACCAAAGAGGGGGACCUUCGGGCCUCUUGCCAUCAGAUGUGCCCAGAUGGGAUUAGCUUGUUGGUGAGGUAACGGCUCACCAAGGCGACGAUCCCUAGCUGGUCUGAGAGGAUGACCAGCCACACUGGAACUGAGACACGGUCCAGACUCCUACGGGAGGCAGCAGUGGGGAAUAUUGCACAAUGGGCGCAAGCCUGAUGCAGCCAUGCCGCGUGUAUGAAGAAGGCCUUCGGGUUGUAAAGUACUUUCAGCGGGGAGGAAGGUGUUGUGGUUAAUAACCGCAGCAAUUGACGUUACCCGCAGAAGAAGCACCGGCUAACUCCGUGCCAGCAGCCGCGGUAAUACGGAGGGUGCAAGCGUUAAUCGGAAUUACUGGGCGUAAAGCGCACGCAGGCGGUCUGUCAAGUCGGAUGUGAAAUCCCCGGGCUCAACCUGGGAACUGCAUUCGAAACUGGCAGG